GUCGACUCCGGUAGCGGAUUUGCUUCACUGAUUCUUUUUAUAUUGCUUUCAUCAUGUGACAAAUUUUAAAAAUAGAAUUAUUGGGGAAACCAAAACAGACGUAAGAUCAUUCAGGAAUUUCCUAUAUUUGAACGGAUUAACAAAGAUUACAAGACCAACAGAUGUUUUAUAGUUCAGCUUACAAAAAGCAUUAGACAAGUUUCAUAAUUAUUAAAUGGCCGGUAUUCAGGUAGAUGGGAACCCAACAGUAGAGCAUCUCACGAAUUAUUUUCGGAGAAGAACUCGACAAAGUAAUUCCACCCAACAUGAUAGUAGCAGUGAUUCUUCAAGACCACGCGACGCAGUCCCAAUGUCUACUACGCAGCCUACAACAUGUGAAAGUCUUGGUAUAUUGAUAGGCAAACCCAAACACAGACAAUACGGUACUCUAGACUCACGUAUAAAAUCAUAUGAAAAUGAAAAUUGGAUUAAAGAUAAAACACCGGGGAUAAAAGAACUAGCAGAGGCCGGACUUGCAUAUACAGGUGUUGCCGACUCUGUGAGGUGUUACUACUGUAAUAUCGGCCUAAAAAUCUGGCCGAAAGACGUCUGUCCUUGGAAACAGCAUAUACUAGCCAUUCCUGAUUGCGGG
This is a long non-coding RNA of Ruditapes philippinarum (Manila clam), 631 nucleotides long. RefSeq lists it as uncharacterized. Lineage: Eukaryota; Metazoa; Mollusca; Bivalvia; Venerida; Veneridae. The transcript has 3 exons. The record is from RefSeq and is a predicted model, not a curated record.